UUGGUGGUUUUUGAUCAAAAGUUGUUGUUUUUGAUCAAACUUGCUGAUUUUGGUCAAAGUUGGUAGAAAAUGGUGGUUUUUGAUCAAAAGUUGUUGUUUUUGGUCAAACUUGCUGAUUUUGGUCAAAUUGGUAGAAAAUUGUGGUUUUUGAUCAAAAGUUGUUGUUUUUGGUCAAACUUGCUGAUUUUGGUCAAAGUUGGUAGAAAUUGGUGGUUUUUGAUCAAAAGUUGUUGUUUUUGAUCAAACUUGCUGAUUUUGGUCAAAGUUGGUAGAAAUUGGUGGUUUUUGAUCAAAAGUUGUUGUUUUUGGUCAAACUUGUUGAUUUUGGUCAAAGUUGGUAGAAAUUGGUGGUUUUUGAUCAAAAGUUGUUGUUUUUGGUCAAUAAUGAUGAUUUUGGUCAAAGUUGGUAGAAAUUGGUGGUUUUUGAUCAAAAGUUGUUGUUUUUGGUCAAACUUGUUGAUUUUGGUCAAAGUUGGUAGAAAUUGGUGGUUUUUGAUCAAAAGUUGUUGUUUUUGGUCAAACUUGCUGAUUUUGGUCAAAGUUGGUAGAAAUUGGUGGUUUUUGAUCAAAAGUUGUUGUUUUUGGUCAAACUUGCUGAUUUUGGUCAAAGUUGGUAGAAAAUGGUGGUUUUUGAUCAAAAGUUGUUGUUUUUGAUCAAACUUGUUGAUUUUGGUCAAAGUUGGUAGAAAUUGGUGGUUUUUGAUCAAAAGUUGUUGUUUUUGGUCAAACUUGUUGAUUUUGGUCAAAGUUGGUAGAAAAUGGUGGUUUUUUGAUCAAAAGUUGUUGUUUUUGGUCAAACUUGUUGAUUUUGGUCAAAGUUGGUAGAAAUUGGUGGUUUUUGAUCAAAAGUUGUUGUUUUUGAUCAAACUUGCUGAUUUUGGUCAAAGUUGGUAGAAAUUGGUGGUUUUUGAUCAAAAGUUGUUGUUUUUGAUCAAACUUGCUGAUUUUGGUCAAAGUUGGUAGAAAAUGGUGGUUUUUGAUCAAAAGUUGUUGUUUUUGAUCAAACUUGUUGAUUUUGGUCAAAGUUGGUAGAAAUUGGUGGUUUUUGAUCAAAAGUUGUUGUUUUUGGUCAAACUUGUUGAUUUUGGUCAAAGUUGGUAGAAAAUGGUGGUUUUUGAUCAAAAGUUGUUGUUUUUGGUCAAACUUGUUGAUUUUGGUCAAAGUUGGUAGAAAUUGGUGGUUUUUGAUCAAAAGUUGUUGUUUUUGGUCAAACUUGCUGAUUUUGGUCAAAGUUGGUAGAAA
Long non-coding RNA from Anopheles funestus (African malaria mosquito), 1242 nucleotides. RefSeq lists it as uncharacterized. The record is from RefSeq and is a predicted model, not a curated record. The transcript has 5 exons. Lineage: Eukaryota; Metazoa; Arthropoda; Insecta; Diptera; Culicidae.